RNAcentral lists this ribosomal RNA (259 nucleotides) under uncultured Staphylococcus sp. Its description in RNAcentral is "partial 16S ribosomal RNA". It matches the Rfam family "Bacterial small subunit ribosomal RNA", at positions 100 to 355 of the family's 1533-position model. Lineage: Bacteria; Bacillati; Bacillota; Bacilli; Caryophanales; Staphylococcaceae. The record is from RNAcentral.
GGGGUGAGUAACACGUGGAUAACCUACCUAUAAGACUGGGAUAACUUCGGGAAACCGGAGCUAAUACCGGAUAAUAUAUUGAACCGCAUGGUUCAAUAGUGAAAGACGGUUUUGCUGUCACUUAUAGAUGGAUCCGCGCUGCAUUAGCUAGUUGGUAAGGUAACGGCUUACCAAGGCAACGAUGCGUAGCCGACCUGAGAGGGUGAUCGGCCACACUGGAACUGAGACACGGUCCAGACUCCUACGGGAGGCAGCAGCC